GAUGAACGCUGGCGGCGUGCCUAAUACAUGCAAGUCGAGCGAACGGACGAGAAGCUUGCUGCUCUGAUGUUAGCGGCGCACGGGUGAGUAACACGUGGAUAACCUACCUAUCAGACUGGGAUAACUUCGGGAAACCGUAUCUAAUACCGUAUAAUAUUCUGAUCCGCAUGGUUCAAAAGUGAAAGACGGUCUUGCUGUAACUUAUAGAUGGAUCCGCGCUGCAUUAGCUAGUUGGUAAGGUAACGGCUUACCAAGGCAACGAGGCAUAGCCGACGUGACAGGGUGGUCGGCCACACGGGAACUGGGACGCGGACCAGACUCCUACGGGAGGCAGCAGUAGGGAAUCUUCCGCAGUGGGCGAAAGCCUGACGGAGCAACGCCGCGUGAGUGAUGAAGGUCUUCGGAUCGUAAAACUCUGUUAUUAGGGAAGAACAUAUGUGUAAGGAACUGUGCACAUCUUGACGGUACCUAAUCAGAAAGCCACGGCUAACUACGUG
Molecule: ribosomal RNA, 497 nt
Filed under: uncultured bacterium
Lineage: Bacteria
Description: partial 16S ribosomal RNA
Rfam family: Bacterial small subunit ribosomal RNA
Source: RNAcentral